This 422-nucleotide ribosomal RNA is filed under the name uncultured bacterium. RNAcentral's name for it is "bacterial SSU rRNA". It matches the Rfam family "Bacterial small subunit ribosomal RNA", at positions 355 to 774 of the family's 1533-position model. The record is from RNAcentral.
UGAGGAAUAUUGGGCAAUGCCCGCAAGGGUGACCCAGCAACGCCGCGUGGAGGAUGAAUGUCGUAAGAUUGUAAACUCCUGUUAGAGGGGAAGAAUAGUACCGGUUGGACCGGUAUAUGACUGUACCCUCAGAGAAAGCCCCGGCUAACUACGUGCCAGCAGCCGCGGUAAUACGUAGGGGGCAAGCGUUGUCCGGAUUUACUGGGUGUAAAGGGCGCGCAGGCGGGAUAAAAAGUCAGUGGUGAAAUCCUACAGCUUAACUGUAGAACUGCCUUUGAUACUUUUAUUCUUGAGUUCGGGAGAGAGAGACGGAAUUCCAGGUGUAGUGGUGAAAUACGUAGAUAUCAGGAGGAACACCGGCGGUGUAGACGGCUUGCUAGACCAUAACUGACGCUGAGGCACGAAAGCGUGGGUAGCAAACA